AGUUUGAUCCUGGCUCAGGAUGAACGCUAGCGGCAGGCCUAAUACAUGCAAGUCGAACGGAAUAUGAUUUUCGGAUUAUAUUUAGUGGCGCACGGGUGAGUAACACGUACAUAACUUACCCUCAAGAGGGGGAUAGCCUCGGGAAACUGAGCGUAAUACCCCAUAGUAUUAUUGAACGGCAUCGUUUGAUAUUAAAGCUACGGCGCUUGAGGAUAGAUGUGCGUCUGAUUAGCUAGUUGGUAAGGUAACGGCUUACCAAGGCGACGAUCAGUAGGGGGCGUGAGAGCGUGGCCCCCCACACGGGUACUGAGACACGGACCCGACUCCUACGGGAGGCAGCAGUAAGGAAUAUUGGUCAAUGCCCGGAAGGGUGAACCAGCCAUGCCGCGUGAAGGAUGACUGCCCUCUGGGUUGUAAACUUCUUUUGGAUGGGACGAAAAAACGGGAUUUAUCCUGGACUGACGGUACCAUCAGAAUAAGCACCGGCUAACUCCGUG
RNAcentral lists this ribosomal RNA (497 nucleotides) under uncultured bacterium. Its description in RNAcentral is "bacterial SSU rRNA". It matches the Rfam family "Bacterial small subunit ribosomal RNA", at positions 10 to 507 of the family's 1533-position model. The record is from RNAcentral.